RNAcentral lists this long non-coding RNA (1150 nucleotides) under Gallus gallus (chicken). RNAcentral's name for it is "lncRNA (ENSGALG00010014749.1)". The record is from RNAcentral. Lineage: Eukaryota; Metazoa; Chordata; Aves; Galliformes; Phasianidae.
CAUGGCAAAGAAAAAUAACAUGAAGAAAAGAUGGCAAGAAUUUGGAAGGAAGGAUCCUCCUUAACGCUGCUGUUAUUUUAUAUGUCCUUGAGAGACUUCAGUGGACUAAUUAACCAACUGGAAGAUAUCUAUGUCCCUCAUGGAAGACAGAGCAUGUGUGGAGUGACCAGAUCCCAAAAUAGGGAACUCAUGAGGACAAACCCUCAGGAGCUGCGGUAGUUUCUUCCAGAAGGAAAAAUCAAUACAGUCACUGAUAACAACUUAGAGAUUAAAACCAUGAAAAGCAAAGCAUCUGUUUAGUUUUGUUUUACGUUGUAGGUGUGAAGUAGAACUAUUUGACAUACGUGAUCUGCAGAUAGUCUGGGCUGGUGAAAAUUGUAUUAGCUUCUUGUUUUUCAUAGAUUCAAAAGAAAGAGAGAGUGCUGUGUGUGUGUGAACUCUGCAUCCAGAAGCACCUCCGUCUUUGUAGACUUAGAAUCAUAGAAUAUCCUGAGUUGGAAGGGACCCAUAAAAAUCAUUGGGUCUUGGAUCCACACAGGACCAUCCAAAAAGUCAGUGGGACUCACCUCAUCUGUUUGGGGUCUGCCACAGGGUGCCAGACGCCGUACUUUUUUCAGCCUCCAGCUGCUCCUAUAAGUCUGGUGCCAGAGUCUGCCACCUGCAUCCAGGCAUGGGGCUCCCUCCCCAUGCAUCCGCCCUACUGCUGCACAGGCCUUGAUCUCUUUGUCUGGAACGUUUCCAUCACAGACUUGCCAUAAGUGUGUGGAGACUUCCAUAUCUUCUCUUUAAGGCAAAUUUCAGCAAAGCUGGCUUUGGGCAGACUGCCAGGACAGCAUAUUUGGCACUCUUCACAAAGAGUUUAUUCCUGAUCAAAGCUGGUUGUCAGUACAACAGCCUUCACAAGAGCAAAAUGUCAUCUGGGAAAGGAAGUAUGUUAUGUGUGUUUACCUCAAACCAAAGGCUGAGAUUGGAGACAACAGUUUCACUAGGGCUGAGUCCUUUACACUGUCCUGCAGAAGUCAAUGAGUCUGGAACUCCUCUCUUAUUAAGGCUGAGUCAGUGUUGAGGCCUGGAGGGCAACAACACUGAUCUGGUGCAGGCCUAUCCCCUGGCUGCAGGAGGGUACCAGGUCUGACAAACUACACAUGGC